RNAcentral lists this ribosomal RNA (315 nucleotides) under Ceratozetes minimus. RNAcentral's name for it is "eukaryotic LSU rRNA". It matches the Rfam family "Eukaryotic large subunit ribosomal RNA", at positions 666 to 944 of the family's 3401-position model. The record is from RNAcentral. Lineage: Eukaryota; Metazoa; Arthropoda; Arachnida; Sarcoptiformes; Ceratozetidae.
CCAAGGAGUCUAACAUGUGCGCGAGUCGCUCGGUCUUGAUUAGGCCAGAGAGGCGCAAUGAAAGUAAAGUUGAUUGAGUUACGAUCCUUAUGCGGUCACUCCUCGUGGGUGACGGUAAGGCGCAGUAACAGCCCGCUAAUUUCGCCUAUUGACGAUCUGGCGGAGUUGUAGCGUACACGUUGGUACCCGAAAGAUGGUGAACUAUGCCUGGGCAAGACGAAGCCAGAGGAAACUCUGGUGGAGGUCUGUAGCGAUUCUGACGUGCAAAUCGAUCGUCAGACCUGGGUAUAGGGGCGAAAGACUAAUCGAACCAUC